RNAcentral lists this long non-coding RNA (201 nucleotides) under Sorghum bicolor (sorghum). RNAcentral describes it as "long non-coding RNA (SBIC_LNC006870)". The record is from RNAcentral. Lineage: Eukaryota; Viridiplantae; Streptophyta; Magnoliopsida; Poales; Poaceae.
UGCUUAUUUUAAGACACUAAGCUUGUCCUUGGGAAACCAUCAGUUUAUGUUGGCGAAGUGGUUUCCCCUCCGACGCCAACCUAUAUCUAGAUCAACUCAACGAGAUCUGCAAUAUUUAUUAUAGACAUAUGCAUCGACAACCACCUUUUUAAAGUUUUUAUAAAUAGAAAGGAAGAGGGGGUUGGAGAUCUCAAGUGUGGU